Molecule: ribosomal RNA, 253 nt
Filed under: uncultured bacterium
Lineage: Bacteria
Description: partial 16S ribosomal RNA
Rfam family: Bacterial small subunit ribosomal RNA
Source: RNAcentral
UACGGGGGGGGCAAGCGUUGUUCGGAAUUACUGGGCGUAAAGGGCGCGUAGGCGGUGCCUCAAGUCAGGCGUGAAAGCCCCGGGCUCAACCUGGGAACCGCGCUUGAGACUGGAGUACUAGAGUUCGGGAGAGGAUGGUGGAAUUCCCAGUGUAGAGGUGAAAUUCGUAGAUAUUGGGAAGAACACCGAUGGCGAAGGCAGCCCCCUGGGCUAACACUGACGCUCAUGCACGAAAGCGUGGGGAGCAAACAGG